RNAcentral lists this ribosomal RNA (369 nucleotides) under uncultured bacterium. RNAcentral's name for it is "bacterial SSU rRNA". It matches the Rfam family "Bacterial small subunit ribosomal RNA", at positions 527 to 896 of the family's 1533-position model. The record is from RNAcentral.
GUAGGGUGCGAGCGUUAAUCGGAAUUACUGGGCGUAAAGCGUGCGUAGGCGGUUCUCCAAGUCCGUUGUGAAAGCCCCGGGCUCAACCUGGGAAUGGCAGUGGAAACUAGGGGACUGGAAUCUGGCAGAGGGGGGUGGAAUGCCGCGUGUAGCAGUGAAAUGCGUAGAGAUGCGGCGGAACACCGAUGGCGAAGGCAGCCCCCUGGGCUGAGAUUGACGCUCAGGCACGAAAGCGUGGGGAGCAAACAGGAUUAGAUACCCUGGUAGUCCACGCCCUAAACGAUGGCAACUAGGUGUUGGGGAAGCGAUUUCCUGGUACCGCAGCUAACGCGUGAAGUUGCCCGCCUGGGGAGUACGGUCGCAAGAUUA